AUCCCUUACACUAAAACAAAAAACGUGCUCACAAAAUAUAAAAGAUCAAACUACCUAAAGGAAAAACUUGAAAGUAAAAGCUACGAAUAUGACUAUGGAGACUUUAGGCGUCCCCUUCGUCGUCCUCCUGCGGAACCAACUCGGGAACGAUGUCCUCUUGAUCUGAAAUGAUUAAAUAAGGAAUGAGCUACACUAGCCCAGUAAAGACAUCACGAUAUCUCACCGUCACGGAGGUAAAAGUGGGUAGAAAACACAAAAAGACCAAUGGAGCAUAAUUUACAACAAAUCCUUUUAUUAAUAAUAAAACCUUUACCAUUCACUUACCUCGGUGAAAUUCAUAAAAUAAUAUACGAAAGCAAUAACAUCAUCAUCAUCAUGAAAACAUAUAUAUGAAUUGUAUAACAUAAUACCUAUCAAACUUUUCGUAAUUCAAUCGUUACACAACAUAUUUUCCUGAUUCACCAGCCCACUAGUAUCCAUGGGGAUCCAUAGGGGUCCCGCUACCCGUUAAUCCUUAACACUUGAAAUCCAUUCCAGGGCCGUCCCCAUACCCCGUCCGGUAUGGGCGCCAAACCAUAGACCUCAUUACCCCGUCCGGUAUGAGGGUGAAACGGGCCGUCCCCAUACCCCGUCCGGUAUGGGCGCCAAAACAUAGACCUCAUUACCCCGUCCGGUAUGAGGGUGAAACGGGCCAUCCCCAUACCCCGUCCGGUAUGGGCGCCAAAACACAUAAGAUCUCCAUACCCCGUCCGGUAUGGGAGACCACAAUCCCGGUAGGGUUCCCUACG
This 788-nucleotide long non-coding RNA is filed under the name Carica papaya (papaya). RNAcentral describes it as "long non-coding RNA (CPAP_LNC015062)". Lineage: Eukaryota; Viridiplantae; Streptophyta; Magnoliopsida; Brassicales; Caricaceae. The record is from RNAcentral.